RNAcentral lists this ribosomal RNA (775 nucleotides) under uncultured Neocallimastigales. Its description in RNAcentral is "partial large subunit ribosomal RNA". It matches the Rfam family "Eukaryotic large subunit ribosomal RNA", at positions 24 to 649 of the family's 3401-position model. Lineage: Eukaryota; Fungi; Neocallimastigomycota; Neocallimastigomycetes; Neocallimastigales. The record is from RNAcentral.
UACGACUACAUAUCAGGCAUAUCAAUAAGCGGAGGAAAAGAAACUAACAAGGAUUCCCUUAGUAACGGCGAGUGAAGCGGGAAGAGCUCAAAUUUGAAAUCUUCAAGGUUCUACCUUGACGAAUUGUAGUUUAAAGAAGUGUUUUCUGUUAGAUGAGUAGCAAAAGUUCCUUGGAAUGGGACAUCAUAGAGGGUGAGAAUCCCGUAUUUGGUUAUUCAUUCUAGCUUUGUGAUACACUUUCAAAGAGUCGGAUUGUUUGGGAAUGCAGUCCAAAAUGGGUGGUAAAUUUCAUCUAAAGCUAAAUAUUGGCGAGAGACCGAUAGCGAACAAGUACCGUGAGGGAAAGAUGAAAAGAACUUUGAAAAGAGAGUUAAACAGUACGCUGAAAUUGUCAAAAGGGAAGCGUUUGACACCAGUGUUGUUUUUCCGAAAAUCAAUUACGAAUGGCUUGAUUUUGUGUUGUAUUGACCUUAUCAGCUUUCUGCACUUUUUUCGAGUCUUUCUUAAUGCACUUUUCGGUUAACAAGUCAACAUCAAUUUCUUUUGUUGUAAAAGAGUAUUCGGAAGGUGGCUUUCUUUUCGGAGAAAGUGUUUAUAGCCCUAUACUUCUACAAUCGGAGAGAUUGAGGUCUGCAGCGUAGAUCCUUCGGGGUUAGAUACACUUGUGCUAAGUUGUAGCUUUUCAUAGACAACUUGUUGACUAUGUUUAGUCAUGCGGCUUACUCGCUUGUGCUAUUUUACCUACGCUUAGGAUGUUGAGUAGCGACAUACGCAC